AAUUUUGGACAAUGGGGGAAACCCUGAUCCAGCCAUGCCGCGUGUAUGAUGAAGGCCUUCGGGUUGUAAAGUACUUUUGGUAGAGAAGAAAAGGUACCUCCUAAUACGAGGUACUGCUGACGGUAUCUGCAGAAUAAGCACCUGAUACCUUCGUGCCAGCAGCCGCGGUAAUACGUAGGGUGCUAGCGUUAAUCGGAAUUGCUGGGCGUAAAGCGUGUGUAGGCGGUUCGGAAAGAAAGAUGUGAAAUCCCAGGGCUCAACCUUGGAACUGCAUUUUUAACUGCCGAGCUAGAGUAUGUCAGAGGGGGGUAGAAUUCCACGUGUAGCAGUGAAAUGCGUAGAUAUGUGGAGGAAUACCGAUGGCGAAGGCAGCCCCCUGGAAUAAUACUGACGCUCAGGCACGAAAGCGUGGGGAGCAAACA
Molecule: ribosomal RNA, 422 nt
Filed under: uncultured bacterium
Lineage: Bacteria
Description: partial 16S ribosomal RNA
Rfam family: Bacterial small subunit ribosomal RNA
Source: RNAcentral